RNAcentral lists this ribosomal RNA (265 nucleotides) under uncultured bacterium. Its description in RNAcentral is "partial 16S ribosomal RNA". It matches the Rfam family "Bacterial small subunit ribosomal RNA", at positions 793 to 1055 of the family's 1533-position model. The record is from RNAcentral.
GUCCACGCCCUAAACGAUGUCAACUAGUUGUUGGGAGAGUAAAAUCUCUUAGUAACGCAGCUAACGCGUGAAGUUGACCGCCUGGGGAGUACGGUCGCAAGAUUAAAACUCAAAGGAAUUGACGGGGGCCCGCACAAGCGGUGGAUUAUGUGGAUUAAUUCGAUGCAACGCGAAAACCUUACCUGGCCUUGACAUGCCGAGAACAUUGCAGAGAUGCGAUGGUGCCCGAAAGGGAACUUGGACACAGGUGCUGCAUGGCUGUCGU